UACGUAGGGUGCAAGCGUUGUCCGGAAUUAUUGGGCGUAAAGAGCUCGUAGGCGGCUUGUCGCGUCUGCUGUGAAAACCCGAGGCUCAACCUCGGGCCUGCAGUGGGUACGGGCAAGCUAGAGUGCGGUAGGGGAGACUGGAAUUCCUGGUGUAGCGGUGAAAUGCGCAGAUAUCAGGAGGAACACCGAUGGCGAAGGCGGGUCUCUGGGUAGUAACUGACGCUGAGGAACGAAAGCGUGGGUAGCGAACAGG
Molecule: ribosomal RNA, 253 nt
Filed under: uncultured bacterium
Lineage: Bacteria
Description: partial 16S ribosomal RNA
Rfam family: Bacterial small subunit ribosomal RNA
Source: RNAcentral